UGGGGGAUAUUGCACAAUGGGCGAAAGCCUGAUGCAGCGAUGCCGCGUGGGGGAAGAAGGUUUUCGGAUUGUAAACCCCUGUCUUUGGGGACGAUAAUGACGGUACCCAAGGAGGAAGCUCCGGCUAACUACGUGCCAGCAGCCGCGGUAAUACGUAGGGAGCGAGCGUUGUCCGGAAUUACUGGGUGUAAAGGGAGUGUAGGCGGGACGGUAAGUCAGGUGUGAAAUUUAUGGGCUCAACCCAUAACCUGCACUUGAAACUACUGUUCUUGAGUGAAGUAGAGGUUGGCGGAAUUCCUAGUGUAGCGGUGAAAUGCGUAGAUAUUAGGAGGAACACCAGUGGCGAAGGCGGCCAACCGGGCUUUUACUGACGCUGAGGCUCGAAAGCGUGGGGAGCAAACA
Molecule: ribosomal RNA, 402 nt
Filed under: uncultured Ruminococcus sp.
Lineage: Bacteria; Bacillati; Bacillota; Clostridia; Eubacteriales; Oscillospiraceae
Description: partial 16S ribosomal RNA
Rfam family: Bacterial small subunit ribosomal RNA
Source: RNAcentral